CGUAGCUUCCUUGUCGUGUGGCCUCAGUCCUUCGCCGUCCCUCGCCGUCCUUCGCCAUCGCACGCCACCGCACCCCAUCUCUCGAAAUCUGCAGACAUCUUGAUUUUUCCCACGCUGUCUGUCAGGUCUCCGCCGCCACUCGACGCCAGGGCGCCGGGUGAGUCCACAGCAGGGCGCAUGGUCGGCUCCACUCUCACCAUCGGGGGAAACUGAGGCCCCGGGGAAGGCGGCCAGAGAGGUCAGGCCCUGUCCUUGGUGCAGUGUCUCGUCCUCUUUGCCGGAGUGAGCCCCCCAGGAUUCGCGUGUCCUCGGGAAAGACACUGGCAGGCCUUGUGGGCUGUGCUGCACCUCGGACGGCUUCGCACCAGCCAGCGCCCUCUCUCUCCUGCAGCACUCUGAUCUGCACCCCCUGAGGGGCUUCCACUGUCCGCGGGGUGAGAAUGCCCCUGGGAGUGUCACAUGACUGCCGCCCCAUGUGUGUGAGAGGCGUCCUCUGGGAGAGCAUGGAUCCUGAGGUCCCAGGAUUGUCAGCUGACCUCUGUCCUGUGUGCCCAGUGGCCCCAGGUGACGUGUCUUCAAGAAGAGGCUGAGCUGCGGUGCUUGUAAGAGUCAUGUGCUGUUCCUGGGGCUUGGAUGAUGUAGGGGAAGCAAGGUGAAAGUGGUAUCCCGUGGUUCCACGUUCUGUCCUGCUGUGGGGCUGUCCCUCACAUGCUUUCAGUGGCUGUUGCAGAGGAAGAGCCUCCGGAAAUCUGCGUCUCAGCCUUAGAUCCAAGGACAGUCCAAGGAAGUCCUAAGACCAUGGAGUUGGUGAUCUGGGAUCUGGGUUUGCUGAUAUUUCUCACCGUGAAUCUCUUGGUGGUGUUUGUGGGCACGAGAGGGGCAGAGAAUGGAGAGUGAGGCUACCACAUGAAGCGUCACCAGAGCUGCUCCCUGCUGCCUGCUCAGAGCACCCCGGAUCCACUGUUCAAUCUGCACAAGAUUCGGGGUCCAGACAUGGGAGACUUCAGCUGCCUCAGAGGACCGUGGACAGGGAAGGCCAGCCUCGCAUCCCUCUGUCCAUGCCUGGAAUGACUUUAAUAACCAAGAGUUUUAUUUUUGAAUUUGUAGCUGUCGUUCACUUUUUACCCACCCAUUCAAUAAACCUUACAGAAUUGCUCCAUGUGCUUCUUAAAUCAGUGACAACCUGUGAGCCUGCCAGGCUGGCUUUGGAGAAGAGGGAGGAAUCUACACAUGUCCC
This 1237-nucleotide long non-coding RNA is filed under the name Homo sapiens (human). RNAcentral's name for it is "non-protein coding SNHG17:9". Lineage: Eukaryota; Metazoa; Chordata; Mammalia; Primates; Hominidae. The record is from RNAcentral.